AGUGAACGCUGGCGGUAGGCCUAACACAUGCAAGUCGAACGGCAGCACAGUAAGAGCUUGCUCUUACGGGUGGCGAGUGGCGGACGGGUGAGGAAUACAUCGGAAUCUACUUUUUCGUGGGGGAUAACGUAGGGAAACUUACGCUAAUACCGCAUACGACCUACGGGUGAAAGCAGGGGAUCUUCGGACCUUGCGCGAUUGAAUGAGCCGAUGUCGGAUUAGCUAGUUGGCGGGGUAAAGGCCCACCAAGGCGACGAUCCGUAGCUGGUCUGAGAGGAUGAUCAGCCACACUGGAGCUGAGACACGGUCCAGACUCCUACGGGAGGCAGCAGUGGGGAAUAUUGGACAAUGGGCGCAAGCCUGAUCCAGCCAUACCGCGUGGGUGAAGAAGGCCUUCGGGUUGUAAAGCCCUUUUGUUGGGAAAGAAAAGCAGCAGGUUAAUACCCCGCUGUUCUGACGGUACCCAAGGAAUAAGCACCGGCUAACUUCGUG
This 492-nucleotide ribosomal RNA is filed under the name uncultured bacterium. RNAcentral describes it as "partial 16S ribosomal RNA". It matches the Rfam family "Bacterial small subunit ribosomal RNA", at positions 29 to 507 of the family's 1533-position model. The record is from RNAcentral.